CCCUUAGAUGUCCUGGGCUGCACGCGCGCUACACUGAUGUGUCCAGUAAGCACCUAACCUCUUCCGAAAGGAACGGGUAACCUUUGCAAAGCACAUCGUGAUGGGGAUAGAUUAUUGCAAUUAUUAGUCUUGAACGAGGAAUUCCUAGUAAGCACAAGUCAUCAGCUUGUGUUGAUUACGUCCCUGCCCUUUGUACACACCGCCCGUCGCUCCUACCGAUUGAAUGUUCCGGUGAGCUCUUCGGACUGCGCGGUCUGCAGUUUCUGCGUUCCGUGCGGAAAGUUGCGCAAACCUUAACAUUUAGAGGAAGGAGAAGUCGUAUCA
This 324-nucleotide ribosomal RNA is filed under the name uncultured eukaryote. RNAcentral describes it as "partial 18S ribosomal RNA". It matches the Rfam family "Eukaryotic small subunit ribosomal RNA", at positions 1470 to 1796 of the family's 1831-position model. The record is from RNAcentral.